RNAcentral lists this unclassified non-coding RNA (602 nucleotides) under Penicillium janthinellum. Its description in RNAcentral is "sequence contains 18S rRNA gene, ITS1, 5.8S rRNA gene, ITS2, 28S rRNA gene". The stretch from base 219 to 372 matches the Rfam family "5.8S ribosomal RNA". Lineage: Eukaryota; Fungi; Ascomycota; Eurotiomycetes; Eurotiales; Aspergillaceae. The record is from RNAcentral.
AGUCGUAACAAGGUUUCCGUAGGUGAACCUGCGGAAGGAUCAUUACCGAGUGAGGGCCCUCUGGGUCCAACCUCCCACCCGUGUUUAUCAUACCUAGUUGCUUCGGCGGGCCCGCCGUCAGGCCGCCGGGGGGCAUCCGCCCCCGGGCCCGCGCCCGCCGAAGCCCCCCUGAACGCUGUCUGAAGAUUGCAGUCUGAGCGAUUAGCUAAAUCAGUUAAAACUUUCAACAACGGAUCUCUUGGUUCCGGCAUCGAUGAAGAACGCAGCGAAAUGCGAUAAGUAAUGUGAAUUGCAGAAUUCAGUGAAUCAUCGAGUCUUUGAACGCACAUUGCGCCCCCUGGUAUUCCGGGGGGCAUGCCUGUCCGAGCGUCAUUGCUGCCCUCAAGCACGGCUUGUGUGUUGGGCCCCCGCCCCCCGGCUCCCGGGGGGCGGGCCCGAAAGGCAGCGGCGGCACCGCGUCCGGUCCUCGAGCGUAUGGGGCUUCGUCACCCGCUCUGUAGGCCCGGCCGGCGCCCGCCGGCGACCCCCCUCAAUCUUUCUCAGGUUGACCUCGGAUCAGGUAGGGAUACCCGCUGAACUUAAGCAUAUCAAUAAGCGGAGGA